AUUGGUCUGACUUGAAGUGCAAAGCUGUUAUUUUGAUUCAUUAUUUGUUCUUUUCUGAACAUUGAAGAAAUGUCCAAUUAACCCUUGUACCAAACCAGCACAUUUCUUUUCCGGAUUGCAGGUAUCCGGCAAUACCGUAGCAGCACAAGGCACCAGGCAGGAACCAACCCUGGAUAAGGCGCUGGUCUACUGCAGGACAAGGGCCCACACACAAGCACACUCAAGAGUUGUUUCUAGGCCUAUUGUGCAUAGCUGUGUGAUUUGGGUGAAAAACUGGAAUACUUGGUUAAAAUCCCAGACAUGCGAUCAAGUGGACCAGUUUCAUCUGAAGUCUCCUUCACUUAAAAACCAAGAAUAGCCUUUUACAAAUAUGUCAACCCUGCGGAAGUCACCUUAUGUAGCCCCGAUAAAAGACCAACUGCAGGUACCUGAAACGAUGAGGAAACAUAAUGUAACUGUUUGGGAAGUCUUGUUAACAUCCACUGUGUCUGACAUCUUCUCAAAAUGCUAAGAACAGAAGCAAAGAGUGAAAAUAAGAAUUAUGUUCUGAUUAAGAAGCAAACUUCAGCAAAACUGAGUAUGUAUAUCCUCAAUAAUGGAGUUGGAACUUGAGAACCACCACUAGAGGAGGUGAGUGUUCACUGAAGUCAAAGUCGUCAUCAUCU
Erpetoichthys calabaricus (reedfish) is the source of this 665-nucleotide long non-coding RNA. RefSeq lists it as uncharacterized. Lineage: Eukaryota; Metazoa; Chordata; Cladistia; Polypteriformes; Polypteridae. The record is from RefSeq and is a predicted model, not a curated record. The transcript is spliced from 3 exons.